AAAAAAAAAAAAAUGAAUCAAAGAAUUGAGGUCGGAGAUUGCCAACAGAAAAGGGGUAGUGUUCCAACAAGACAAUGCCCGACCACAUGUCUUUGGCUACCCGAACAAAGUUACAUGAACUUGGCUGAAAUCUCUUACCCCCAUCCACAAUAUUUUUCUGAUAUCGCGCCAUUC
Molecule: long non-coding RNA, 174 nt
Organism: Octopus sinensis (East Asian common octopus)
Lineage: Eukaryota; Metazoa; Mollusca; Cephalopoda; Octopoda; Octopodidae
Exons: 3
Source: RefSeq, a predicted model, not a curated record